AUAGUUUGAUCAUGGCUCAGAAUCAACGCUGGCGGCGUGCCUCAGACAUGCAAGUCGAACGCGAAAGUCCCCUUCGGGGGACAAGUAGAGUGGCGUCCGGGUGAGUAACACGUAGGUAAUCUACCUUCGGGUGGGGAAUAACGCAGGGAAACUUGCGCUAAUACCGCAUAAUGCAGCGGCACCACAUGGUGACAGUUGUUAAAGCGGGGGAUUUUCGAACCUCGCGCCUGAAGAGGAGCCUGCGGCAGAUUAGCUAGUUGGUAAGGUAACGGCUUACCAAGGCGACGAUCUGUAGCCGGCCUGAGAGGGCGGUCGGCCACACUGACACUGACAUACGGGUCAGACUCCUACGGGAGGCAGCAGUCGGGAAUUUUGGGCAAUGGGCGAAAGCCUGACCCAGCAACGCCGCGUGAAGGAUGAAAUCCCUCGGGAUGUAAACUUCGCAAGAAUAGGAAGAAUGAGCGAGUACUAAUACUGCUCGUGAUGACGGUACUAUUUGUAAGCUCCGGCUAACUCCGUGCCAGCAGCCGCGGUAAUACGGGGGGAGCAAGCGUUGUUCGGAUUUACUGGGCGUAAAGGGCGCGUAGGCGGCCAGCACAAGUCAGUUGUGAAAUCUCCGGGCUUAACUCGGAAAGGUCAACUGAUACUGUGCGGCUAGAGUGCAGAAGGGGCAACUGGGAUUCUCGGUGUAGCGGUGAAAUGCGUAGAUAUCGAGAGGAACACCUGCGGCGAAAGCGGGUUGCUGGGCUGACACUGACGCUGAUGCGCGAAAGCCAGGGGAGCGAACGGGAUUAGAUACCCCGGUAGUCCUGGCCUUAAACGAUGGAUGCUUGGUGUCUGGAGUUUUAUAGUCUCCGGGUGCCGUAGCUAACGCGUUAAGCAUCCCGCCUGGGGGAGUACGUCGCAGACUGAAACUCAAAGGAAUGACGGGACCCGCACAAGCGGUGGAGC
This 951-nucleotide ribosomal RNA is filed under the name uncultured bacterium. Its description in RNAcentral is "bacterial SSU rRNA". It matches the Rfam family "Bacterial small subunit ribosomal RNA", at positions 8 to 938 of the family's 1533-position model. The record is from RNAcentral.